UGGGGAAUUUUGCGCAAUGGGGGAAACCCUGACGCAGCAACGCCGCGUGAGCGAUGAAGGCCUUCGGGUCGUAAAGCUCUUUUAGUGGGGAAGAAUCCCUUUCGGGCGAAUAACCCGGGAGGAUGACGGUACCCACAGAAAAAGUUCCGGCUAACUACGUGCCAGCAGCCGCGGUAAUACGUAGGGAGCAAGCGUUGUUCGGAAUUAUUGGGCGUAAAGAGCGCGUAGGCGGUUCGGUAAGUCUGACGUGAAAUCCCGGAGCUUAACUCCGGAACUGCGUUGGAUACUGCCGGGCUUGAGUGUGGGAGAGGAGAGUGGAAUUCCCAGUGUAGAGGUGAAAUUCGUAGAUAUUGGGAGGAACACCCGUGGCGAAGGCGGCUCUCUGGACCACAACUGACGCUGAGGCGCGAAAGCUAGGGUAGCAAACGGGAUUAGAUACCCCGGUAGUCCUAGCCGUAAACGAUGGGCACUAGGUGUUGGAGGUAUCGA
Molecule: ribosomal RNA, 489 nt
Filed under: uncultured bacterium
Lineage: Bacteria
Description: bacterial SSU rRNA
Rfam family: Bacterial small subunit ribosomal RNA
Source: RNAcentral